CAAAGGCUUGGUCCUGACUUUACUAUCAGCUUCAACCCAACUUAUACAUGCAAGUAUCCGCACACCCGUGAGAAUGCCCUCAAUCCCCCGUCCGGGGACGAGGAGCAGGCAUCAGGCCCUCUAUUAGAGCCCAAGACGCCUUGCUACGCCACACCCCCAAGGGUAUUCAGCAGUAAUAAACAUUAAGCCAUGAGCGAAAGCUCGACUUAGUUAAGGUUACUAGGGCCGGUAAAACUCGUGCCAGCCACCGCGGUUAUACGAGUAGGCCUAAGUAGAUAGCUACGGCGUAAAGCGUGGUUAGGACAUAAAAUAAAUAGAGUCGAAUACCCUCUAGGCUGUUAUACGCUUUUCGAGGUCACGAAGCCCCCUCACGAAAGUAACUCUAAACAACUUCCCCGAACCCACGAAAACUAAGAAACAAACUGGGAUUAGAUACCCCACUAUGCUUAGUUAUAAACAUAGAUGUCAAAUUACAACUAACAUCCGCCAGGGUACUACGAGCAUCAGCUUAAAACCCAAAGGACUUGGCGGUGCUUCAGACCCACCUAGAGGAGCCUGUUCUAGAACCGAUAAUCCCCGUUUAACCUCACCACCCCUAGCCUUCCCCGCCUAUAUACCGCCGUCGUCAGCUUACCCCGUGAGGGUCUAAUAGUGAGCACAAAGAGCCAGCCUCAAAACGUCAGGUCGAGGUGUAGCGAAUGAGGUGGAAAGAAAUGGGCUACAUUUUCUACAAUAGAAUACUACGGACAGCAAACUGAAAAAAGUGCUUUAAGGUGGAUUUAGCAGUAAAAAGAAAAUAGAGAGUCCUUUUGAAUUAGGCUCUGAAGCGCGCACACACCGCCCGUCACCCUCCCCUUCAACUCAGUACUAAGUAACUAACACUAAAGAUAAAAAUUAAGGGGAGGCAAGUCGUAACAUGGUAAGUGUACCGGAAGGUGCACUUGGAAAAAU
Molecule: non-coding RNA, 951 nt
Filed under: Hemigrammocharax ocellicauda
Lineage: Eukaryota; Metazoa; Chordata; Actinopteri; Characiformes; Distichodontidae
Description: 12S ribosomal RNA
Rfam family: Bacterial small subunit ribosomal RNA
Source: RNAcentral